Molecule: ribosomal RNA, 467 nt
Filed under: uncultured bacterium
Lineage: Bacteria
Description: partial 16S ribosomal RNA
Rfam family: Bacterial small subunit ribosomal RNA
Source: RNAcentral
GACGAACGCUGGCGGCGUGCUUAACACAUGCAAGUCGAACGGAAAGGCCCUGCUUUUGUGGGGUGCUCGAGUGGCGAACGGGUGAGUAACACGUGAGUAACCUGCCCUUGACUUUGGGAUAACUUCAGGAAACUGGGGCUACUACCGGAUAGGAGCUCCUGCUGCAUGGUGGGGGUUGGAAAGUUUCGGCGGAGGGGGUUGGACUCGCGGCUUAUCAGCUUGUUGGUGGGGUAGUGGCUUACCAAGGAUUUGACGGUUAGCCGGCCUGGGAGGGAGACCGGCUCCAGGGGACUGGGGGAGGGACCAGUGCGCAAUCGGGGGCAAGGGGCGGAAAACUGGUCCAGCCGGGCGGAGUCUGUGUAGAGGAUCUCCGGAUUGGGAAGCACGGCUUGGGGGGGGGAAACGCAUUACGCUAGUACCUAGCUGUUGUGACGGUAAUGGGUAAAGAAGCACCGGCUAACUACGUG